AGAUCGCUUGAUUGAGCCCGGGAGGCAGAGGUUGAAGUGAGCUUUGAUUGGGCCACUGCACUCCAGCCUGGGCAACAGAG
This 80-nucleotide small nuclear RNA is filed under the name Homo sapiens (human). RNAcentral's name for it is "partial ncRNA". Lineage: Eukaryota; Metazoa; Chordata; Mammalia; Primates; Hominidae. The record is from RNAcentral.